RNAcentral lists this ribosomal RNA (253 nucleotides) under uncultured prokaryote. RNAcentral's name for it is "partial 16S ribosomal RNA". It matches the Rfam family "Bacterial small subunit ribosomal RNA", at positions 525 to 777 of the family's 1533-position model. The record is from RNAcentral.
ACAGAGGGGGCAAGCGCUGUUCGGAAUUACUGGGCGUAAAGGGCGCGUAGGCGGCCGGCUAAGUCGAACGUGAAAUCCCCGGGCUCAACCCGGGAACUGCGUCCGAUACUGGUCGGCUUGAAUUCGGGAGAGGGAUGCGGAAUUCCAGGUGUAGCGGUGAAAUGCGUAGAUAUCUGGAGGAAUACCGGUGGCGAAGGCGGCAUCCUGGACCGGCAUUGACGCUGAAGCGCGAAAGCUAGGGGAGCAAACAGGA